This 243-nucleotide ribosomal RNA is filed under the name uncultured Tulasnellaceae. RNAcentral describes it as "partial large subunit ribosomal RNA". It matches the Rfam family "Eukaryotic large subunit ribosomal RNA", at positions 72 to 309 of the family's 3401-position model. Lineage: Eukaryota; Fungi; Basidiomycota; Agaricomycetes; Cantharellales; Tulasnellaceae. The record is from RNAcentral.
GGAUUCCCCUAGUAACGGCGAGUGAAGCGGGAUGAGCUCAAAUUUCAAAUCUGGCGUUCUCCGGGCGUCCGAGUUGUAAUCUAGAGAAGCGUUUUCUGCGUUAGACCGACCAUAAGUUACCUCGAACGGUACAUCAUAGAGGGUGAGAAUCCCGUAUGUUGGUCGGAGCCUAGGGCUAUACGAUGCGCUCUCGACGAGUCGAGUUGUUUGGGAAUGCAGCUCAAAAUGGGAGGUAAAUUCCUU